CCCCCAUAAACUAUGCUGAUCUGUCUGUAUGUAUAAUGUGUUUGUUUGUUAGUUCUUAGAAUGUCCUGUAGAGGGCACUAGACCCACAUUUCUCAUGUGUCGGUACGAGAAGAAGAGUAAAGAAGAGGGAAGAAGAAAAAAAGAAAUGGCAGACUAUGCAAACUAAGCACAUUUCAGCAGAAGUAGAGAAGUUACUACGCAUAAGUGCUGCUGUGAUAUGAAAGAAAUCUGUUUAUUUUGAACUGGAUAAUGUACAUUCUGUUCUGAGAUUUCUCCGGUUGUUUUUUUUUGGACGACCGAUACCUGAACGAGCCAGUGGUUCCAGAAGCAGGAGGGUUCCGCCGCCAUCUUUGUGACUCGGACUGAAGCCUGGAAAGACGGAGGGACUGGUGCUGCUGGAGCUGGAUGUUUUGCGUGGACAACAGAUAAGCUUAUUGAACAAAAGGGGGGCCCCCAAAUCUUUUUUUUAUUCCACAAACUAUUUGUUCAUGAACAUUUUCAUAACGGACAACGUAUGUGCACAUUGACUGAACUGACUGACCGAACUGUUAUAUUGAAGGACUAACUGGAAUAUGUAAUUUCUUUUGUUGAAAUAAGCUUUAAAGCUACUGUUUAAAAAAA
Xiphophorus couchianus (Monterrey platyfish) is the source of this 621-nucleotide long non-coding RNA. RefSeq lists it as uncharacterized. NCBI's taxonomy places the organism in Eukaryota, Metazoa, Chordata, Actinopteri, Cyprinodontiformes, Poeciliidae. The transcript has 2 exons. The record is from RefSeq and is a predicted model, not a curated record.